RNAcentral lists this ribosomal RNA (3069 nucleotides) under uncultured fungus. RNAcentral describes it as "bacterial SSU rRNA". The stretch from base 1890 to 3069 matches the Rfam family "Eukaryotic large subunit ribosomal RNA", at positions 1 to 941 of the family's 3401-position model. Lineage: Eukaryota; Fungi. The record is from RNAcentral.
GCGGCUUAUUUGACUCAACACGGGGAAACCUCACCAGGCCCGGACACCGGAAGGAUUGACAGAUUGAGAGCUCUUUCUUGAUUCGGUGGGUGGUGGUGCAUGGCCGUUCUUAGUUCGUGGAUCGAUCUGUCUGGUUAAUUCCGAUAACGAACGAGACUCUAGCCUACUAACUAGGCGUAUUUUCGACAUCCUAAAGGUCCGCCUGCCCGAUGUGGCUACGGUCCGUCGGUGCUGUGCGCGAUUUUUACUGUCGGCGUACAAUAAAUUCUUCUUAGAGGGACAGGUGGCUAUUAGUCGCACGAGAUUGAGCAAUAACAGGUCUGUGAUGCCCUUAGAUGUUCUGGGCCGCACGCGCGCUACACUGAAGGAAUCAGCGUGUCUUCCCUGGCCGAGCGGUCCGGGUAAUCCGCUGAACCUCCUUCGUGCUAGGGAUUGGGGCUUGCAAUUGUUCCCCAUGAACGAGGAAUUCCCAGUAAGCGCGAGUCAUAAGCUUGCGUUGAUUAAGUCCCUGCCCUUUGUACACACCGCCCGUCGCUACUACCGAUUGAAUGAUUUAGUGAGGUCUUCGGACCGGUACGCGGCGGCGUUUCGACGUCGCCGAUGUUGCUGGGAAGAUGACCAAACUUGAUUAUUUAGAGGAAGUAAAAGUCGUAACAAGGUUUCCGUAGGUGAACCUGCGGAAGGAUCAUUAACGUAUCAAGCUACAACCUAGCUGGUCGUUUUGAUUAGCAGUGUCGCAUAGAGCUUAGUUGUUAGUAGGGUGUGCACAAGCCCAAAAACAACUAAUGUCUCUGACACGUUCGGUCUGAUAUCGUUCCGUAUCGCGUGAAUCGAGAAGCAAUCAUUCAACGACAAGCAUAAUGUUUUGAGAGUAUUCGGGUGGUACGUAAAGUUUAAUGAUGUUCGCCACACGUCUUGAGAUUAUUAAGCUUCGUCGGGUUGCCACCUCGGCCCUGCGGGCGAUUCUUUCCAAACACAUUUGAACGCAUUGCAACUUCGUCGUGCGCAUUGUCAUUGCGACAUUGUCGACUCGUGUCGUUGCUAUCGUGCUUUACGUUUUCAAUGUAACGUAAGCGCAAUCUUAAAGAGAGUAUAAACUAUACCUAACGAGUUCGUUAGUAGUGCACAAGUGCGAUGGACAGCAUAUUAGAGGACGCGUCUGUACGUUUCGAGUAUUCGUGCCGAUCGCUGGCGAUACGAAUGUUACGCGCCUGAUGUCCCGUUGUCGUCAUUGAAACAUCGUGCAUGCACAAAAGCGUCUUGUAUACAAAAAUACAACCUUAAACGGUGGAUCACUCGGCUCGUGGGUCGAUGAAGAACGCAGCAAAUUGCGCGUCAACUUGUGAACUGCAGGACACAUGAACAUCGACAAUUCGAACGCACAUUGCGGUCCUUGAAUACUGUUUCUGGACCACUCCUGGCUGAGGGUCGUUUCCAUAUAUACGACUGUCCGGUUUUGUGAUUCGAUUCGUCGUCUCUGAAACGUCGGGACUAGUUGGAGGUUCGUACGUCGCAAGACGUGCGUCUUCUUAAAUACUCGUUUGCGCCCAGGUCCGUGCGCCAAUUUUUGGCAAUCGCGGCGGGAAUCACGCAUUCGAUUCUAUCUGUCAGGCUCGGUAUCCACUGUAAAUUGCAUGUGAUUUGCGCGCACGCACAACGCAAGUUGUGUUUUGCUAUCGCAGCGAUCGUCUGCAUAUACGUUGGGCCAAGUCCGUCGCGUCCAAGACGACUGUGUCUAGUGACGACGGAGCAGCUUGGUUUCCAGUACGGCGGCGGAACGACACGCUUUGCUGAGCAGUUAGGUGCAUCAGCGCGUUUCGCAGUGCAUUUAUGAUAAGCGUUACCGACCGCUCAAUUGGCAGAAGAACAUGAGAUUCGUCUCAAACACGCGACCUCAGAGCAGGUGAGACUACCCGCCGAAUUUAAGCAUAUUAAUAAGCGGAGGAAAAGAAACUAACUAGGAUUCCCUUAGUAACGGCGAGCGAACAGGGAAAAGCCCAGCACUGAAUCGCGCGGCCCACGGGGACGCUGCGAAAUGUAGUGUUUGGGAGGGUCCGCUAUUCCGCGGUUUGGCGAUGCGUCCAAGUCCUUCUUGAACGGGGCCACUUACCCAUAGAGGGUGCCAGGCCCGUAGUGACCAUUGCCGGCUACGGAAGGAUCUCUCCUUAGAGUCGGGUUGCUUGAGAGUGCAGCCCUAAGUGGGUGGUAAACUCCAUCUAAGGCUAAAUAUAACCACGAGACCGAUAGCGAACAAGUACCGUGAGGGAAAGUUGAAAAGAACUUUGAAGAGAGAGUUCAAUAGUACGUGAAACCGUUUAGGGGUAAACCUGAGAAACCCGAAAGUUCGAACGGGGAGAUUCAGCGCGUCUCGGUUUGCGCGAGUGCCGUUUGGUAGACGAAUGCCGUUCGCGGUAGUCGCUCCUUACGCGCGCCGCUGCUUGUCGAACGCGUGCACUUCUCCUUUAGUAGGACGUCGCGACCCGUUGGGUGUCGGUCUUAGGCUUGCGGUGGAGCCCGUUCGUUCGUUUACGUUCGUUCGGACCCGCGAUGUCCCGGCCGACUGCUCGACGGUAGAACGAAGGCGCAGAGCCGCGACUAGCUCGCGUUCGGCUCGAUGCAAGCGCGAACGGUUACUCGAUCGUCGGACUUGUGCCGAUCUCGGGGCCGUUUGGCUGUUGGUGUCGAUGCUCCCGGACAGACUCUGUACACGCCUGUCAGCGGCGCUAUAGCUUUGGGUACUUUCAGGACCCGUCUUGAAACACGGACCAAGGAGUCUAGCAUGUGCGCGAGUCAUUGGGACUAACGAAUCCUAAAGGCGAAAUGAAAGUAAAGGCAGAGCCUGGCUCGGCCAAGGGAAGAUGGGUGGCUUUUGUCGCCUCGCACUCCCGGGGCGUCUCGUUCUCAUUGCGAGAAGAGGCGCACCUAGAGCGUACACGCUGGUACCCGAAAGAUGGUGAACUAUGCCUGGUCAGGACGAAGUCAGGGGAAACCCUGAUGGAGGUCCGUAGCGAUUCUGACGUGCAAAUCGAUCGUCGGAACUGGGUAUAGCGGCGAAAGACUAAUCGAACC